This 72-nucleotide transfer RNA is filed under the name Nanobdellota archaeon. RNAcentral describes it as "tRNA-Gly". It matches the Rfam family "tRNA". From Rfam's summary of the family: Transfer RNA (tRNA) molecules are approximately 80 nucleotides in length. The record is from RNAcentral. Lineage: Archaea; Nanobdellati; Nanobdellota.
GCGUGGGUAGUUUAGCGGUUAGAAUCUGUCGUUGCCAACGAUGGGACCGGUGUUCGAUUCCCCGCUCGCGCA